RNAcentral lists this ribosomal RNA (253 nucleotides) under uncultured bacterium. Its description in RNAcentral is "partial 16S ribosomal RNA". It matches the Rfam family "Bacterial small subunit ribosomal RNA", at positions 524 to 776 of the family's 1533-position model. The record is from RNAcentral.
UACGUAGGGGGCAAGCGUUGUCCGGAUUUAUUGGGCGUAAAGAGCGUGUAGGCGGUUUGGUAGGUCCGCUGUGAAAACUCGAGGCUCAACCUCGAGACGCCGGUGGAAACCAUCAGGCUAGAGUCCGGAAGAGGAGAGUGGAAUUCCCGGUGUAGCGGUGAAAUGCGCAGAUAUCGGGAGGAACACCGGUGGCGAAGGCGGUUCUCUGGGCCUUACCUGACGCUGAGGAGCGAAAGCGUGGGGAGCGAACAGG